CGCUGGCGGCGCGCAUAAACAUGCAAGUCGAGCGAGGGCUCUUCUCCCGCAAGGGAGGGGAGUUCCUAGCGGCGAACGGGUGAGUAACACGUGGGCAACCUUUCCUAUCGCGGGGGAUAACAGCGGGAAACCGCUGCUAAUACCGCAUGUCGUCACCGGUCGCAUGGCCGGUGAAGAAAGCAGCAAUGCACGAUGGGGUGGGCCCGCGGCCUAUCAGCUAGUCGGUGGGGUAACGGCCUACCGAGGCGAUGACGGGUAGCUGGUCUGAGAGGACGACCAGCCACACGGGGACUGAGACACGGCCCCGACUCCUACGGGAGGCAGCAGUGAGGAAUCUUCCGCAAUGGGCGAAAGCCUGACGGAGCGACGCCGCGUGUGGGAUGAAGUCCUUCGGGAUGUAAACCACUGUUGGAGGGGAAGAUAGUGACGGUACCCUCCGAGAAAGCCCCGGCUAACUACGUGCCAGCAGCCGCGGUAAUACGUAUGGGGCUAGCGUUAUCCAGAUUUAC
This 509-nucleotide ribosomal RNA is filed under the name uncultured bacterium. Its description in RNAcentral is "bacterial SSU rRNA". It matches the Rfam family "Bacterial small subunit ribosomal RNA", at positions 34 to 554 of the family's 1533-position model. The record is from RNAcentral.